Molecule: ribosomal RNA, 468 nt
Filed under: uncultured bacterium
Lineage: Bacteria
Description: partial 16S ribosomal RNA
Rfam family: Bacterial small subunit ribosomal RNA
Source: RNAcentral
GACGAACGCUGGCGGCGUGCUUAACACAUGCAAGUCGAACGGAAAGGCCCUGCGUUUGUGGCGUGCUCGAGUGGCGAACGGGUGAGUGACACGUGAGUAUCCUGCCCUUGUCUUUCGGAUAACUUCACGAAACUGGGGCUAAUAUAGGAUAGGAUCUCCUGCUGCAUGGUGGGCGUUGGAAAGUUUCGGCGGUUGGGGAUGGACUCGCGGGUUACGAGCUUGUUGGUGGGGUAGUUGCUUACCAAGGCUUUGACGGGUAGCCGGCCUGAGAGGGUGACCGGCCACAUGGGGACUGAGAUACGGACCAGAAGGGUACGGGAGGCAGCAGUGGGAAGUAUGGCACAAUGGGCGGAAGUGUGAGGCAGCGACGCCGCGUGCGGGAUGACGGCUUUCGGGGUGUAAACAGCUUUCGCCUGAGACGAAGCGUGAGUGACGGUAAUGGGUAAAGAAGCACCGGCUAACUACGUG